Non-coding RNA from Bemisia tabaci, 888 nucleotides. The record is from RefSeq and is a predicted model, not a curated record. Lineage: Eukaryota; Metazoa; Arthropoda; Insecta; Hemiptera; Aleyrodidae.
UUUGCGGUGUUAAGGAAGUAUUUAAAUCUGUAUUCAAAGAAGAGUAAUAUUUAAAGCAGUGAAGUUUAUUUCAACCAGUUUGUGAUUUGAUAAAUAACGAAGGAUUAUUUCCUUUUUAAUUGAAGCUCAGUGUCGUGUAUAGUUCCAACAACGCCGCCGCAACUCAAGAGCAACUCAACGCCGUCGUUGGAUGAAACAAUUGUGAGUCUCACUAAAUUGUGUUGCCAAAAAGAAGUUAGCUUCAGCAUCAUCUUAUUGGACAUGAACUGUCUCGUAUUCGAUUACGCCGUCACUUUUAGUACUUUUUCUGAAGUAAAACGGUUCAUAGUCGAAAGAAGCACUUUUGAACCUCACACCAAAAGCCUCUUAGUGGGACUCUGAACAGGUUGAUAAUUGCAUCAGGGGAAAUCCAUGGAGGCAUGCAGGUGUCAGAGGUACAGGCGUCACCAUCUUUUUCUGAAUCUUUUUCUGCAUCCUUUUUCGCUGGACAACCGUCCGCUUCAACACCCCGUGCAUCCUUCUUCGCUGGACGAUCGGCCGCUUCAGCAUCCCCAGGAAGAAACGUUUUGAAUCAAAAGGAAACCUUCAAUUCAAAACGACGAUGCUCCGAAAUAGAGAAAAGGUCCAAUGAACUGGAUGAUAAUAAAGUAAUCGUUAUAUCUAAUGCAGAUAGACCUAGAUCACCCAACUGGUAUGUAAUUAUCGUUCCUCUAAAUAUUUCAAGAGAGAUGAGUCCGUGGUUUAACAAGUGCAUAACGUAGAUUAUUAAAACUGAAAAUGACAAUGUUGAAAUGACAAUGCAACAUUGCAAAUGUAAAAACUGUACUCUGCAUUGGACUAGUUGCGUAUGUGAAAACAGUAAUUACGAAAUAAAAGCCACUUGUUGCA